GUAGUCCUGGCCCUAAACGAUGUCAACUAGAUCGUGGUGCUUUGACGGCUUCACGGUCGAAGCAAAAGUGCUAAGUUGACCGCCUGGGAAGUACGGUCGCAAGGCUAAAACUCAAAGGAAUUGACGGGGGCUCACACAAGCGGUGGAGCAUGUGGUUCAAUUCGAAGCAACGCGCAGAACCUUACCUGGGCUUGACAUGGCCCUGCAAGCCGGUGAAAGCCGGUCGCCUUCGAGGGUGGGCCACAGAUGCUGCAUGGCUGUCGUCAGCUCGUGUCGUGAGAUGUUGGGUUAAG
This 293-nucleotide ribosomal RNA is filed under the name uncultured bacterium. RNAcentral describes it as "partial 16S ribosomal RNA". It matches the Rfam family "Bacterial small subunit ribosomal RNA", at positions 790 to 1084 of the family's 1533-position model. The record is from RNAcentral.